AUAGCAAUUAAAUAAAUUCGUCGUAUAAUCUUGAGGAUAUGGCUCUAGAGUUUCUACCGACCACCGUAAAUGGUCUGUCUACGCAGAAGAGAUAAGGAAUA
This 101-nucleotide non-coding RNA is filed under the name Amphibacillus xylanus. Its description in RNAcentral is "Guanine sequence". It matches the Rfam family "Purine riboswitch aptamer". From Rfam's summary of the family: Riboswitches are metabolite binding domains within certain messenger RNAs that serve as precision sensors for their corresponding targets. Allosteric rearrangement of mRNA structure is mediated by ligand binding, and this results in modulation of gene expression. A class of riboswitches that selectively recognises guanine and becomes saturated at concentrations as low as 5 nM. The record is from RNAcentral. Lineage: Bacteria; Bacillati; Bacillota; Bacilli; Caryophanales; Bacillaceae. RNAcentral also lists the same sequence under 1 other name.